Molecule: transfer RNA, 75 nt
Filed under: Candidatus Beckwithbacteria bacterium CG_4_10_14_0_2_um_filter_47_25
Lineage: Bacteria; Candidatus Beckwithiibacteriota
Description: tRNA-Thr
Rfam family: tRNA
About the family: Transfer RNA (tRNA) molecules are approximately 80 nucleotides in length.
Source: RNAcentral
GCCGGAGUAGCUCAGCAGUAGAGCACCAGUUUUGUAAACUGGGAGUCGUGGGUUCAACACCCACCUCCGGCUCAA